Long non-coding RNA from Rana temporaria (common frog), 575 nucleotides. RefSeq lists it as uncharacterized. The record is from RefSeq and is a predicted model, not a curated record. Lineage: Eukaryota; Metazoa; Chordata; Amphibia; Anura; Ranidae. The transcript has 4 exons.
GUCAUCGCGUCUUUUUGACGCGAUACGCCCACGUCUGUAGGCCUAUUUAAAGCCAGCUCCAGCCGUUUUCUCGGCGUGGAGCACAGGCUGCUACCUCCCCGGGACACACACUACUCCUUAGGCGGCAAGGUUUCUAAAGCCUUUGAUCUGCCCUUUAUUGUGGACAGUGCAGUGUGGUCACCUAGCGACGGAAUCUAUUUUCCCUCCAGGUCUUUCCCACCUGUCUUCUGCCUUGCUGGUCCCGGUUGUUGCCUUUUUAUACUAUUUUCGAGAACCUACUAUUAUUGUGGCUUCCCAUACCAUCAGGAGAUCGUUUCUUCCUCCUUGUUACCCGGCUCACGUACUUAUUUUUGGUACUACCCCAAUGAUUUGUGAUGGAUGCGGAUGACCACCAACUCAAUUGGUACUAUAUUUGGCUUUAUUGCAUGCUGGCCCUCAAUAUUUUAUUGGAUUAUGUCUUUAUGUUAUCUGUAUGUUAUAAGUGUACAAUUUUCUUUCAGACACAUACAAGUAGCAAUACUUCCGUGUUAUAAAACCAUACAACUCGUCCAGAAGAAGCCGUAAGGCGAAACGCG